RNAcentral lists this ribosomal RNA (253 nucleotides) under uncultured bacterium. RNAcentral describes it as "partial 16S ribosomal RNA". It matches the Rfam family "Bacterial small subunit ribosomal RNA", at positions 524 to 776 of the family's 1533-position model. The record is from RNAcentral.
UACGUAGGGGGCAAGCGUUGUCCGGAUUUAUUGGGCGUAAAGAGCGUGUAGGCGGCUUGGAAGGUCAGCUGUGAAAACUCGAGGCUCAACCUCGAGACGUCGGUUGAAACCACCUGGCUAGAGUCCGGAAGAGGAGAGUGGAAUUCCCGGUGUAGCGGUGAAAUGCGCAGAUAUCGGGAAGAACACCCGUGGCGAAGGCGGCUCUCUGGGACGGUACUGACGCUGAGACGCGAAAGCGUGGGGAGCGAACAGG